ACGUAGGUGGCAAGCGUUGUCCGGAUUUACUGGGCGUAAAGAGCGCGCAGGCGGUCUUUUAAGUCAGGUGUGAAAGCCCCCGGCUUAACUGGGGAAGUGCACUCGAUACUGAUAGUCUAGAAUGCGGGAGAGGGUGAUGGAAUUCCUGGUGUAGUGGUGAAAUGCGUAGAUAUCAGGAGGAACACCAGUGGCGAAGGCGACUACCUGGCCUGUUCUUGACGCUGAGGCGCGAAAGCGUGGGGAGCAAACAG
This 251-nucleotide ribosomal RNA is filed under the name uncultured prokaryote. RNAcentral describes it as "partial 16S rRNA". It matches the Rfam family "Bacterial small subunit ribosomal RNA", at positions 525 to 775 of the family's 1533-position model. The record is from RNAcentral.